RNAcentral lists this transfer RNA (77 nucleotides) under Mycoplasmataceae bacterium. Its description in RNAcentral is "tRNA-Trp". It matches the Rfam family "tRNA". Rfam says of the family: Transfer RNA (tRNA) molecules are approximately 80 nucleotides in length. RNAcentral also lists the same sequence under 1 other name. The record is from RNAcentral. Lineage: Bacteria; Bacillati; Mycoplasmatota; Mollicutes; Mycoplasmatales; Mycoplasmataceae.
AGGAGUGUAGCUCAAUUAGGCAGAGCAGUGGUCUUCAAAACCAUCGGUUACGGGUUCAAUUCCUGUCACUCCUGCCA